This 2875-nucleotide ribosomal RNA is filed under the name Burkholderia sp. AD24. Its description in RNAcentral is "bacterial LSU rRNA". It matches the Rfam family "Bacterial large subunit ribosomal RNA". Lineage: Bacteria; Pseudomonadati; Pseudomonadota; Betaproteobacteria; Burkholderiales; Burkholderiaceae. The record is from RNAcentral.
UCAAGCGAACAAGUGCAUGUGGUGGAUGCCUUGGCGAUCACAGGCGAUGAAGGACGCGGUAGCCUGCGAAAAGCUACGGGGAGCUGGCAAACGAGCUUUGAUCCGUAGAUGUCCGAAUGGGGAAACCCACUCCGAAUGGAGUAUCCAUGACUGAAUACAUAGGUCAUGUGAAGCGAACGCGGUGAACUGAAACAUCUAAGUAACCGCAGGAAAAGAAAUCAACCGAGAUUCCCAGAGUAGUGGCGAGCGAAAUGGGAUCAGCCUGUACUCUUUAUCUUCAUUGUUAGUCGAAGGCUCUGGAAAGUGCCGCCAUAGCAGGUGAUAGCCCUGUAGACGAAAACAGCGAGGAAGAACUAGGUGUACGACAAGUAGGGCGGGACACGUGAAAUCCUGUCUGAAGAUGGGGGGACCAUCCUCCAAGGCUAAAUACUCGUGAUCGACCGAUAGUGAACCAGUACCGUGAGGGAAAGGCGAAAAGAACCCCGGGAGGGGAGUGAAAUAGAUCCUGAAACCGCAUGCAUACAAACAGUAGGAGCCUCGCAAGGGGUGACUGCGUACCUUUUGUAUAAUGGGUCAGCGACUUACAUUCAGUGGCAAGCUUAACCGAUUAGGGCAGGCGUAGCGAAAGCGAGUCCGAACAGGGCGAUUCAGUCGCUGGGUGUAGACCCGAAACCAGGUGAUCUAUCCAUGGCCAGGAUGAAGGUGCGGUAACACGUACUGGAGGUCCGAACCCACUAACGUUGAAAAGUUAGGGGAUGAGCUGUGGAUAGGGGUGAAAGGCUAAACAAACCUGGAAAUAGCUGGUUCUCUCCGAAAACUAUUUAGGUAGUGCCUCGUGUAUCACCUUCGGGGUAGAGCACUGUCAUGGUUGUGGGGUCCAUUGCGGAUUACUACGCCAUAGCAAACUCCGAAUACCGAAGAGUGCAAUCACGGGAGACAGACAUCGGGUGCUAACGUCCGGUGUCAAGAGGGAAACAACCCAGACCGCCAGCUAAGGUCCCCAAAUAUUGCUAAGUGGGAAACGAAGUGGGAAGGCUAAAACAGUCAGGAGGUUGGCUUAGAAGCAGCCAUCCUUUAAAGAAAGCGUAAUAGCUCACUGAUCGAGUCGUCCUGCGCGGAAGAUGUAACGGGGCUAAGCAAUAUACCGAAGCUGCGGAUGCACAUUUAUGUGCAUGGUAGGAGAGCGUUCCGUAAGCCUGCGAAGGUGCACUGGAAAGUGUGCUGGAGGUAUCGGAAGUGCGAAUGCUGACAUGAGUAGCGAUAAAGGGGGUGAAAAGCCCCCUCGCCGUAAGCCCAAGGUUUCCUACGCAACGUUCAUCGGCGUAGGGUGAGUCGGCCCCUAAGGCGAGGCAGAAAUGCGUAGCUGAUGGGAAGCAGGUUAAUAUUCCUGCACCAUUGUUAAAUGCGAUGGGGGGACGGAUCGCGGAAGGUUGUCCGGGUGUUGGAAGUCCCGGUCCUUGCAUUGGAGAAGGCGCUUAGGCAAAUCCGGGCGCGGAAUUCAAGGGUGCGAGGCCAUUCACUUCGGUGAAGAAGCAAUCGGAAGUGGUUCCAAGAAAAGCCUCUAAGCUUCAGUUUAACAAGACCGUACCGCAAACCGACACAGGUGGGCGAGAUGAGUAUUCUAAGGCGCUUGAGAGAACUCGGGAGAAGGAACUCGGCAAAUUGGUACCGUAACUUCGGGAUAAGGUACGCCCCUGUAGCUUGACUGGCUCGCGCCAGAAGGGUGAAGGGGUUGCAAUAAACUGGUGGCUGCGACUGUUUAAUAAAAACACAGCACUCUGCAAACACGAAAGUGGACGUAUAGGGUGUGACGCCUGCCCGGUGCCGGAAGAUUAAAUGAUGGGGUGCAAGCUCUUGAUUGAAGUCCCGGUAAACGGCGGCCGUAACUAUAACGGUCCUAAGGUAGCGAAAUUCCUUGUCGGGUAAGUUCCGACCUGCACGAAUGGCGUAACGAUGGCCACACUGUCUCCUCCCGAGACUCAGCGAAGUUGAAGUGUUUGUGAUGAUGCAAUCUCCCCGCGGCUAGACGGAAAGACCCCAUGAACCUUUACUGUAGCUUUGCAUUGGACUUUGAACCGAUCUGUGUAGGAUAGGUGGGAGGCUAUGAAGCGUGGACGCCAGUCUGCGUGGAGCCGUCCUUGAAAUACCACCCUGGUUUGUUUGAGGUUCUAACCUUGGUCCGUAAUCCGGAUCGGGGACAGUGCAUGGUAGGCAGUUUGACUGGGGCGGUCUCCUCCCAAAGUGUAACGGAGGAGUACGAAGGUACGCUAGGUACGGUCGGAAAUCGUGCUGAUAGUGCAAUGGCAUAAGCGUGCUUAACUGCGAGACCGACAAGUCGAGCAGGUGCGAAAGCAGGUCAUAGUGAUCCGGUGGUUCUGUAUGGAAGGGCCAUCGCUCAACGGAUAAAAGGUACUCUGGGGAUAACAGGCUGAUACCGCCCAAGAGUUCAUAUCGACGGCGGUGUUUGGCACCUCGAUGUCGGCUCAUCUCAUCCUGGGGCUGUAGCCGGUCCCAAGGGUAUGGCUGUUCGCCAUUUAAAGAGGUACGUGAGCUGGGUUUAAAACGUCGUGAGACAGUUUGGUCCCUAUCUGCCGUGGGCGCUGGAUAUUUGAAGGGGGCUGCUCCUAGUACGAGAGGACCGGAGUGGACGAACCUCUGGUGUACCGGUUGUCACGCCAGUGGCAUCGCCGGGUAGCUAUGUUCGGAAGAGAUAACCGCUGAAAGCAUCUAAGCGGGAAACUCGCCUUAAGAUGAGAUAUCCCCGGGGCUUCGAGCCCCUUGAAGGGUCGUUCAAGACCAGGACGUUGAUAGGUCAGGUGUGGAAGCGCAGUAAUGCGUUAAGCUAACUGAUACUAAUUGCCCGUAAGGCUUGAUC